CCUACGGGACGCAGCAGUGGGGAAUAUUGCACAAUGGGGGGAACCCUGAUGCAGCGACGCCGCGUGAGUGAAGAAGUAUUUCGGUACGUAAAGCUCUAUCAGCAGGGAAGAAAAAAGGACGGUACCUGAGUAAGAAGCCCCGGCUAACUACGUGCCAGCAGCCGCGGUAAUACGUAGGGGGCAAGCGUUAUCCGGAAUUACUGGGUGUAAAGGGAGCGUAGACGGUUAAGUAAGUCUGGAGUGAAAGGCCGGGGCCCAACCCCGGGACUGCUCUGGAAACUAUUCAACUUGAGUGCAGGAGAGGG
Molecule: ribosomal RNA, 305 nt
Filed under: uncultured bacterium
Lineage: Bacteria
Description: bacterial SSU rRNA
Rfam family: Bacterial small subunit ribosomal RNA
Source: RNAcentral